CAGCCGCCGCGGUAAUACGUAGGGUGCGAGCGUUAAUCGGAAUUACUGGGCGUAAAGCGUGCGCAGGCGGUUGUGUAAGACAGGUGUGAAAUCCCCGGGCUUAACCUGGGAACUGCGCUUGUGACUGCACAGCUAGAGUAUGGCAGAGGGGGGUGGAAUUCCACGUGUAGCAGUGAAAUGCGUAGAGAUGUGGAGGAACACCGAUGGCGAAGGCAGCCCCCUGGGCCAAUACUGACGCUCAUGCACGAAAGCGUGGGGAGCAAACAGGAUUAGAUACCCGCGUAGUCCCUGCCUCUUAUAC
Molecule: ribosomal RNA, 301 nt
Filed under: uncultured bacterium
Lineage: Bacteria
Description: partial 16S ribosomal RNA
Rfam family: Bacterial small subunit ribosomal RNA
Source: RNAcentral